RNAcentral lists this ribosomal RNA (253 nucleotides) under uncultured bacterium. RNAcentral describes it as "partial 16S ribosomal RNA". It matches the Rfam family "Bacterial small subunit ribosomal RNA", at positions 524 to 776 of the family's 1533-position model. The record is from RNAcentral.
UACGGAGGGGGCUAGCGUUGUUCGGAAUUACUGGGCGUAAAGCGCGCGUAGGCGGCUUUGUAAGACAGAUGUGAAAUCCCCGGGCUUAACCUGGGAACUGCAUUUGUGACUGCAUGGCUAGAGUGCGGCAGAGGGGGAUGGAAUUCCGCGUGUAGCAGUGAAAUGCGUAGAUAUGCGGAGGAACACCGAUGGCGAAGGCAAUCCCCUGGGCCUGCACUGACGCUCAUGCACGAAAGCGUGGGGAGCAAACAGG